Molecule: ribosomal RNA, 874 nt
Filed under: uncultured bacterium
Lineage: Bacteria
Description: bacterial SSU rRNA
Rfam family: Bacterial small subunit ribosomal RNA
Source: RNAcentral
AUUGAACGCGGGCGGAAUGCUUUACACAUGCAAGUCGAACGGCAGCACGGACUUCGGUCUGGUGGCGAGUGGCGAACGGGUGAGUAAUAUAUCGGAACGUAUCCAAUAAUGGGGGAUAACUAAUCGAAAGGUUGGCUAAUACCGCAUACGCCCUACGGGGGAAAGCUAGGGACCUUCGGGCCUGGCGUUAAUGGAGCGGCUGAUAUCUGAUUAGCUAGUAGGUGAGGUAAAGGCUCACCUAGGCGACGAUCAGUAGCUGGUCUGAGAGGACGACCAGCCACACUGGAACUGAGACACGGUCCAGACUCCUACGGGAGGCAGCAGUGGGGAAUUUUGGACAAUGGGCGAAAGCCUGAUCCAGCCAUUCCGCGUGAGUGAAGAAGGCCUUCGGGUUGUAAAGCUCUUUCGCAAGGGAAGAAAACUUAGGCGCUAAUAUCGCUUGAGGUUGACGGUACCUUGAUAAGAAGCACCGGCUAACUACGUGCCAGCAGCCGCGGUAAUACGUAGGGUGCGAGCGUUAAUCGGAAUUACUGGGCGUAAAGCGUGCGCAGGCGGUUUUGUAAGUCAGAUGUGAAAUCCCCGAGCUCAACUUGGGAACUGCGUUUGAAACUAUAAGACUAGAAUAUGUCAGAGGGGGGUAGAAUUCCACGUGUAGCAGUGAAAUGCGUAGAGAUGUGGAGGAAUACCAAUGGCGAAGGCAGCCCCCUGGGAUAAUAUUGACGCUCAUGCACGAAAGCGUGGGGAGCAAACAGGAUUAGAUACCCUGGUAGUCCACGCCCUAAACGAUGUCUACUAGUUGUUGGUGGAGUAAAAUCCAUGAGUAACGCAGCUAACGCGUGAAGUAGACCGCCUGGGGAGUACGGUCGCAAGAUUA